RNAcentral lists this ribosomal RNA (709 nucleotides) under uncultured Lachnospiraceae bacterium. RNAcentral's name for it is "bacterial SSU rRNA". It matches the Rfam family "Bacterial small subunit ribosomal RNA", at positions 31 to 740 of the family's 1533-position model. The record is from RNAcentral. Lineage: Bacteria; Bacillati; Bacillota; Clostridia; Lachnospirales; Lachnospiraceae.
GAACGCUGGCGGCGUGCUUAACACAUGCAAGUCGAGCGAAGCACCCUGACGGAUUUCUUUGGAUUGAAGCCUUGGUGACUGAGCGGCGGACGGGUGAGUAACGCGUGGGUAACCUGCCUCAUACAGGGGGAUAACAGUUGGAAACGGCUGCUAAUACCGCAUAAGCGCACAGUACCGCAUGGUACGGUGUGAAAAACUCCGGUGGUAUGAGAUGGACCCGCGUCUGAUUAGGUAGUUGGUGGGGUAACGGCCUACCAAGCCGACGAUCAGUAGCCGACCUGAGAGGGUGACCGGCCACAUUGGGACUGAGACACGGCCCAAACUCCUACGGGAGGCAGCAGUGGGGAAUAUUGCACAAUGGGGGAAACCCUGAUGCAGCGACGCCGCGUGAGCGAUGAAGUAUUUCGGUAUGUAAAGCUCUAUCAGCAGGGAAGAAAAUGACGGUACCUGACUAAGAAGCCCCGGCUAACUACGUGCCAGCAGCCGCGGUAAUACGUAGGGGGCAAGCGUUAUCCGGAUUUACUGGGUGUAAAGGGAGCGUAGACGGCAUGGCAAGCCAGAUGUGAAAGCCCGGGGCUCAACCCCGGGACUGCAUUUGGAACUGUCAGGCUAGAGUGUCGGAGAGGAAAGCGGAAUUCCUAGUGUAGCGGUGAAAUGCGUAGAUAUUAGGAGGAACACCAGUGGCGAAGGCGGCUUUCUGGACGAUGAC